This 72-nucleotide transfer RNA is filed under the name Camelus bactrianus (Bactrian camel). It matches the Rfam family "tRNA". Rfam says of the family: Transfer RNA (tRNA) molecules are approximately 80 nucleotides in length. Their secondary structure includes four short double-helical elements and three loops (D, anti-codon, and T loops). Further hydrogen bonds mediate the characteristic L-shaped molecular structure. tRNAs have two regions of fundamental functional importance: the anti-codon, which is responsible for specific mRNA codon recognition, and the 3' end, to which the tRNAs corresponding amino acid is attached (by aminoacyl-tRNA synthetases). tRNAs cope with the degeneracy of the genetic code in two manners: having more than one tRNA (with a specific anti-codon) for a particular amino acid; and 'wobble' base-pairing, i.e. permitting non-standard base-pairing at the 3rd anti-codon position. The record is from Rfam by way of RNAcentral. RNAcentral also lists the same sequence under 1 other name. Lineage: Eukaryota; Metazoa; Chordata; Mammalia; Artiodactyla; Camelidae.
GGGGGUGUAGCUCAGUGGUAGGGUGUGUGCUUGGCAUGCAUGAUGUCCUGGGUUCAAUCCCCAGUAGCUCCG